This is a non-coding RNA of Salmo salar (Atlantic salmon), 54 nucleotides long. The record is from Rfam. NCBI's taxonomy places the organism in Eukaryota, Metazoa, Chordata, Actinopteri, Salmoniformes, Salmonidae.
UGCAUUCACUAUUGUAAGUCGCUCUGGAUAAGAACGUCUGCUAAAUGACUAAAA